RNAcentral lists this unclassified non-coding RNA (1349 nucleotides) under Homo sapiens (human). RNAcentral describes it as "novel transcript (ENSG00000290533.1)". The record is from RNAcentral. Lineage: Eukaryota; Metazoa; Chordata; Mammalia; Primates; Hominidae.
AGACGUUACUGCCCUCUUGCGUGCCCCGGCCACCCCCGGGCGGCUUGUAGCCGGUGCGCGGGGUGGCUGGGGCUACGUGCAGAGCUGUCGCGGAGCCGGAGCAGCAGCGGUGAAGCCCCUCGGCUCGGCCGAGACCGCCGUGCCCAUUGCUCGCCUCGGUUGCCGCCGCUUUAGCCGCAGCCGCUGCUGCCGCCGCCGGGGGAGAGGCAGCCUAUUGUCUUUCUCCGCGGCGAAGGUGAGGAGCUGUCUCGGCUCGGCCCGCGGGGGAGCCCCGGGAGCCGCACGGAGAUGGAGGAGGACAUCUGGACAGUGAGCAGGAGGCGCUUCGGCCCAUGCCGAACAUCCCAGGGGACCUGGAGAGCCGGGAGGCCAUGGUGGCAUUUUUCAACUCCGCUGGAGCCAAUGCCCAGGAGGAACAAAGGGUGUGCUGCCAGCCCCUGGCUCACCCAGUGGCCUCGUCCCAGAAAAAGCCAGAGGAAAGUACAUCAGCCAGGGGGCAGUGUCAGAGACGCAGCACUGGGAGAGGAGGACAUCGUCAGGCUGGCCCAGGACCAGGAGGAGAUGAAGGUGAACCUGCAGGAGCUGCGGGGCAGGUGUUGCAGCUUGUGGGAGACCACAAGGAGGGGCAUGGCAAAUUCUGACCAUUGCCCAGAACCCUGCUGAUGAGCCCACUCUAGGAGCCCCAAUAGCCCAGGAGCUUGGGUGUGCUGACGAGCAGGGUGAUCACCACUGGAUUGCUGACAGAUAGAGGACGUGGGACCGUGACUAUCACCCCUAAUCUGCAGUGGAUUUGGCUCUCGGCACUCCCAGGCUGGGAGCUGGAUACCUGCCCUGGCAGCAUGACUCAGACUGCAUGACAGUCACAGACUCGCCUCUGCUCCUGUGGUCCAGUGGCCGGACACCCCCUGGGAUGGCUCAAAGGAGUCAGGACUUGGAAGUGGGGACAUCAGGGUAGCUGAAGGAAAUCCACACACCCAGAGCAUCUCGGAGUUCAGACUCUCAGACCUGAAGUAGGCGCCCCCGGGACUGGGCUAGGAGUUGGACGGAAUGGAGGAUGGAGGACAGCGAGAAGAAAGGAAGAGAAAUGCAACGUGUGGGCAGCCGCCAAGAGUGAAAAUAGAGGGAAGUGUCAUGCAAGUGCUGGACAGAAGGCGGCAGGUGGGACGAGCCCCACAGCCCCCUCCUCAAAAACGACCACCUCCAGGACUCAGUGAUCCCUGGGGGGCAGGCUCUGCCAGCCCUCGGCCACACGUGGCUCCGGCACCCAUGGUCCCAGUGCCUUGGAUGGAGACGGCCAGUUCUGGCGGCCAGAUGUGGUGCUCUGGAAUCCAGUCCCAUUUCCUUCCUGG